RNAcentral lists this ribosomal RNA (490 nucleotides) under uncultured bacterium. RNAcentral's name for it is "partial 16S ribosomal RNA". It matches the Rfam family "Bacterial small subunit ribosomal RNA", at positions 29 to 523 of the family's 1533-position model. The record is from RNAcentral.
AACGAACGCUGGCGGCAGGCUUAACACAUGCAAGUCGAACGGGUGUAGCAAUACAUCAGUGGCAGACGGGUGAGUAAUGUAUCGGAACGUGCCCAGUAGCGGGGGAUAACUACUCGAAAGAGUAGCUAAUACCGCAUACGCCCUACGGGGGAAAGGGGGGGAUCGCAAGACCUCUCACUAUUGGAGCGGCCGAUAUCGGAUUAGCUAGUUGGUGGGGUAAAGGCCCACCAAGGCGACGAUCCGUAGCUGGUUUGAGAGGACGACCAGCCACACUGGUACUGAGACACGGCCCAGACUCCUACGGGAGGCAGCAGUGGGGAAUUUUGGACAAUGGGGGCAACCCUGAUCCAGCCAUCCCGCGUGUGCGAUGAAGGCCUUCGGGUUGUAAAGCACUUUUGGCAGGAAAGAAAUCGCACGGGCUAAUACCUCGUGUGGAUGACGGUACCUGCAGAAUAAGCACCGGCUAACUACGUGCCAGCCGCCGCGGUAA